Molecule: ribosomal RNA, 433 nt
Filed under: uncultured bacterium
Lineage: Bacteria
Description: partial 16S ribosomal RNA
Rfam family: Bacterial small subunit ribosomal RNA
Source: RNAcentral
AAUGAACGCUGGCGGCAUGCCUAACACAUGCAAGUCGAACGAAGGCUUCGGCCUUAGUGGCGCACGGGUGCGUAACGCGUGGGAAUCUGCCCUUGGGUUCGGAAUAACAGUUAGAAAUGACUGCUAAUACCGGAUGAUGUCGUAAGACCAAAGAUUUAUCGCCCAAGGAUGAGCCCGCGUAGGAUUAGCUAGUUGGUGGGGUAAAGGCCUACCAAGGCGACGAUCCUUAGCUGGUCUGAGAGGAUGAUCAGCCACACUGGGACUGAGACACGGCCCAGACUCCUACGGGAGGCAGCAGUGGGGAAUAUUGGACAAUGGGCGAAAGCCUGAUCCAGCAAUGCCGCGUGAGUGAUGAAGGCCUUAGGGUUGUAAAGCUCUUUUACCCGGGAUGAUAAUGACAGUACCGGGAGAAUAAGCUCCGGCUAACUUCGUG